GACGAACGCUGGCGGCGUGCUUAACACAUGCAAGUCGAACGGAAAGGCCCUGCUUUUGUGGGGUGCUCGAGUGGCGAACGGGUGAGUAACACGUGAGUAACCUGCCCUUGACUUUGGGAUAACUUCAGGAAACUGGGGUUAAUACCGGAUAGGAGCUCCUGCUGCAUGGUGGGGGUUGGAAAGUUUCGGCGGUUGGGGAUGGACUCGCGGCUUAUCAGCUUGUUGGUGGGGUAGUGGCUUACCAAGGCUUUGACGGGUAGCCGGCCUGAGAGGGUGACCGGCCACAUUGGGACUGAGAUACGGCCCAGACUCCUACGGGAGGCAGCAGUGGGGAAUAUUGCACAAUGGGCGGAAGCCUGAUGCAGCAACGCCGUGUGCGGGAUGACGGCCUUCGGGUUGUAAACCGCUUUCGCCUGUGACGAAGCGUGAGUGACGGUAAUGGGUAAAGAAGCACCGGCUAACUACGUG
RNAcentral lists this ribosomal RNA (468 nucleotides) under uncultured bacterium. Its description in RNAcentral is "partial 16S ribosomal RNA". It matches the Rfam family "Bacterial small subunit ribosomal RNA", at positions 28 to 507 of the family's 1533-position model. The record is from RNAcentral.